This 537-nucleotide ribosomal RNA is filed under the name Photobacterium damselae. Its description in RNAcentral is "bacterial SSU rRNA". It matches the Rfam family "Bacterial small subunit ribosomal RNA", at positions 997 to 1533 of the family's 1533-position model. Lineage: Bacteria; Pseudomonadati; Pseudomonadota; Gammaproteobacteria; Vibrionales; Vibrionaceae. The record is from RNAcentral.
CUUGAAGAGAUUCGAGUGUGCCUUCGGGAACUCUGAGACAGGUGCUGCAUGGCUGUCGUCAGCUCGUGUUGUGAAAUGUUGGGUUAAGUCCCGCAACGAGCGCAACCCUUAUCCUUGUUUGCCAGCACUUCGGGUGGGAACUCCAGGGAGACUGCCGGUGAUAAACCGGAGGAAGGUGGGGACGACGUCAAGUCAUCAUGGCCCUUACGAGUAGGGCUACACACGUGCUACAAUGGCAUAUACAGAGGGCAGCAAGACCGCGAGGUGGAGCGAAUCCCAGAAAGUAUGUCGUAGUCCGGAUCGGAGUCUGCAACUCGACUCCGUGAAGUCGGAAUCGCUAGUAAUCGUGGAUCAGAAUGCCACGGUGAAUACGUUCCCGGGCCUUGUACACACCGCCCGUCACACCAUGGGAGUGGGCUGCACCAGAAGUAGAUAGCUUAACCUUCGGGAGGGCGUUUACCACGGUGUGGUUCAUGACUGGGGUGAAGUCGUAACAAGGUAGCCCUAGGGGAACCUGGGGCUGGAUCACCUCCUUAC